AGAGUUUGAUCCUGGCUCAGGAUGAACGCUAGCUACAGGCUUAACACAUGCAAGUCGAGGGAACGACAUCGAAAGCUUGCUUUUGAUGGUCGUCGACCGGCGCACGGGUGAGUAACGCGUAUCCAACCUGCCCAUCACUUGGGGAGUAACCUUGCGAAAGUAAGACUAAUACCCAAUGAUAUCUCUAGAAGACAUCUGAAAGAGAUUAAAGAUUUAUCGGUGAUGGAUGGGGAUGCGUCUGAUUAGCUUGUUGGCGGGGUAACGGCCCACCAAGGCAACGAUCAGUAGGGGUUCUGAGAGGAAGGUCCCCCACAUUGGAACUGAGACAUGGUCCAAACUCCUACGGGAGGCAGCA
RNAcentral lists this ribosomal RNA (355 nucleotides) under uncultured bacterium. Its description in RNAcentral is "bacterial SSU rRNA". It matches the Rfam family "Bacterial small subunit ribosomal RNA", at positions 8 to 353 of the family's 1533-position model. The record is from RNAcentral.